ACACAACAGCUGGCGUCUCCCCAGUCCGUCUCAGUCCGAUACGGCUACCCGAGUCAACGCCUCGCUUCAGUUCGUCGUCCUAGCUCCAAGUCAGUCCCUGCCUAAGUUUCUCGCUUUGUUACUUUCCUCAGAACCCCGAUUUAGCACUUCCCAUACAGCUACGGAUCAAUUCCCCGCCUAACUAUCCCGCCUCGAUUCCUUUCCUCAAUUUUCUCGCCUAAGCUUCCUCCAAAGCUCCCCGCCUCAGCACUCCGUAUCACCAUGACACUUCGCCUUUCACCUAUCCUACUGUUUACCCUCUGUGCUGCGGCACAAACCUAUGAUUGUCCCGAUGGCUGGACAGGCGUCAACGCACUCUGUUAUAGGAGUCUUCCAGGGCCGGCGGAUCAACCCACAGCACAAGCUAUGUGUCAAGAGGAGGACGCAGCAGCCGUGCUGCCAUCUAUACACGACCUGGCAACCAAUAGUAUCCUGCUGGGCCUCUCUGGCAAUCUGCCCUUCUGGACGGGACUGACCAAUGCUACUGGUGGCGGCCAGGGACAGUGGAGCUGGCAGGACGGCUCUGCCACCGAUUUCUCCAACUGGGCUCCGGGUAUGCCGGUUCUGGAUAACGGCAGAAAGGGCUGUGUGUGGGUUUAUGAGGGCGAUGGUACGUGGAGUAACGCCCAGUGUAACCUCCUGCUUGGGGAUGUGAUGUGCCAGCUCUGAGCCGGUGGUGUGACGUGACGUCACGUGUCGUGACGUCAUAUGAUAUGACGUCACAUGCUAUGACGUCAUAUGGUGUGGUAUAUGCUCUGACGUCACAUGUUAUGACAUCAUAUGCUGUGGUAUCAUGUGAUGCAACGCCAUAUGAAAUAAAGUCUUAUGGUUUGACGUCAUUUGGGGUAACGUGCGUCAACUCUUACGGACAGCACAAAUGCGUCCUAAUUCUUCUCCAAGUCGUGUAAAAAAAAAACAGGAUUUCGUCCUGGGUGUCAUGCAUUGUGUCGUCGUAUGGCAGCACUGACGUGAUGACGUAACAUGUUGUGACGUCAUGAAUGAUGGAGGUGUUGCGGAAAUGAUAUUUGUGGUUUGAUUAGGUAUGUGAAAGGUAAAAAAAGCUGUUUGGGUGAAGUAAAUACAGUGGAUGUGGUCAAUAGCUCACAAAAAUAAA
Amphibalanus amphitrite is the source of this 1153-nucleotide long non-coding RNA. RefSeq lists it as uncharacterized. Lineage: Eukaryota; Metazoa; Arthropoda; Thecostraca; Balanomorpha; Balanidae. The record is from RefSeq and is a predicted model, not a curated record. The transcript has 2 exons.